GGUUUGUAGUUUGAUACAACGUAUGGAUCUUGAACCAGCCGGCCUGACGAGUAGGCAACAGUGCAGCGACUUUUCCUGACGCAUUGAUGCCCUACCGUCCCGCCCGCCCCUACGAAAAAAUAUCACCACCAACCACGCAUCGGCCGCUGUUUUGAAUCUGAGCAGACGGAUUGCACUAAACCACCUCUAAUCUGCUCUUCUACAAA
Long non-coding RNA from Sorghum bicolor (sorghum), 206 nucleotides. RefSeq lists it as uncharacterized. Lineage: Eukaryota; Viridiplantae; Streptophyta; Magnoliopsida; Poales; Poaceae. The record is from RefSeq and is a predicted model, not a curated record. The transcript is spliced from 3 exons.